Molecule: RNase P RNA, 309 nt
Filed under: Candidatus Collierbacteria bacterium RIFOXYA2_FULL_46_20
Lineage: Bacteria; Candidatus Collieribacteriota
Also listed under: 4 other names
Description: RNase P RNA component class A
Rfam family: Bacterial RNase P class A
About the family: Ribonuclease P (RNase P) is a ubiquitous endoribonuclease, found in archaea, bacteria and eukarya as well as chloroplasts and mitochondria.
Source: RNAcentral
UCCCUAGUACGAGAGGAAUGCCCCGCCGCAAGGUGGGGAGGAAAGUCCGGACAGCUAAAAGGAAGGGUGGCUGGGGAAACCCAGUCCUUCCCGAGGUGACUCGGGAGGCGCGAUAGGGCCACAGAGACGAUCAAAGGUGAAACGUUCCACCGUUAGGUGGAGACCCUGUACCGGUAACGGUAUAGGGGUGGUAACCCGCCCCGCUGCAAUCGACGAAUUGGGACUAAGGUGCCUUUUCUAUCCCUAAAGUCUCGAGCAUAGAUAGAUAUUCCUCCACGACAGAAUCCGGCUUAUUGUACUAGGGAGCCC